This 2231-nucleotide long non-coding RNA is filed under the name Cucumis sativus (cucumber). Its description in RNAcentral is "long non-coding RNA (CSAT_LNC001259)". The record is from RNAcentral. Lineage: Eukaryota; Viridiplantae; Streptophyta; Magnoliopsida; Cucurbitales; Cucurbitaceae.
UUCAAUUUUUUUUUAACUCGACCAAGUAUAUAACUAUGAUCAGGACUCCAAAUAGAGUGUGAUGAGACUCAUUCAGUUGUCGUUUGAACUAAAUGUUUUGAGAAUGUCGACAUAGUAUUCUUGCAGUUUUGUUUUCUCCUCUUUUCAAGGGAAACUUUGUUGAAUUUUUUAUUGUUUUCAAAGGGAAUUUUUUUGUUGCCGAUGCUUAUGAGUUUUUCUAAAGUCAGCUAAAAGUUUUUGUUGGCCACUUCUUUUAUAAAAAAAAUGUGUUGUUUAUUGUAAGAUUGACAAAGAACUUCAUAGUUUAGUUGGAAUCUCCAUUGUUGUCACGUCCUAAGUUGAAUAAGGUAAUUCGGAGAAGGGUAUGUCAAGGUGACAUUUCUAAUAAAGCAGGUCUUUCUAUUACAUUUGUUUUGCAGGAACAUCAAAGAGCUUGUAAAGCAGUUGAGCAGUCCACCUCCAGGUUCAAGAGAUCUGCAUUUUUCAAAUGUCUUUUCACAAAGUUUCGUCGAACAGUUCAAGGCUUGCUUUUGGAAACAAAACAUGUCAUAUUGGAGAAAUCCUUCCUUUAACUUACUCCGCUUUGUUCGAACAGUUGCAUCGUCUUUAAUUUUUGGGAUACUAUUCUGGAAACAAGGAAAAAAGCUGUGAGUAGUCUAUGCAUUUAUUAUUCAUUGUCUAAUUUCAUGAAUGUGAAAGCAUUUUAGAAUCUUUCCAUUUUAGUUCUCAUAGCAUUAGGAGACUGACAGGCAUGUAAACUCUUGGAGGGCAUUUGAGACAUCUACAGUAAAACUUUUUGAAAAUUCUCAUUGUUUACCAUGUCUACUUUUCUGUAUUCAUCCUCUCUUCCUUUGUAACUCAGCUGAAAACAGUCUGCACCCAAAACAGACUCUUAUAACUCAUAGGCUAUAAUAACUAUCCUCAUUCCUUAUUCUCUUUUUGUUUGUGUUUGAAGAGAAAACCAGCAGAACUUGUUCAAUGUUUUGGGUUCGAUGUACACUGCUGUAAUCUUCCUUGGCAUUGACAAUUGUGGAUCAGUCCUUCCUAUUGUAUCAAUGGAGAGAACUGUGAUGUACAGAGAAAGGUUUGCUGGGAUGUAUUCGUCAUGGGCUUAUUCACUAGCACAGGUAUGUAUUCAUUUUAACUUGUUCAAUCUUUUUUAUCCUAAUGGUUUAGCUUUUAGCUUAGAUUUUUUCGUUCAUAGUCCAUAAACAGUUAACUUUGUAUCCAAUGGGAACUUUAAAAAUGUCUAAUAUAUAAUAUUGAUCUCCACGAGCCCUAUGUUCAAAUCCCUUAAAUGUUAUUUCCUUCCCGAUUAAUAUCUAUUUUCAUUUGUUGGGUAAUAAGAUUAACGUAGUAUCAAAGCAAGAGGUUUUGUGUUUAAACUCCAAGAAUAUCAUUUUGCCCCCAAUUAAUAUUGUUUUCUACAUGUUCAGAAUUCUACGAAUUCUCAAACUCAUAAGCGUGGGAGAGUGUUAAAGCAUAGAUAUAACUAAAUUUAUCACAACUCAUAAGCUGAAGUUUUUGCAUCAAUUCGUGAUUUAGCGAUACCUAAUAAGUGAAUACAAAAUGUUUUCUUCUCUACUGUACAGGUGAUUGUUGAGGUUCCUUACAUAUUUAUACAAGCAGCUGCCUAUGUCAUUAUCAUUUACCCAAUGAUUGGAUACUAUGCAUCAGCAACCAAAAUACUUUGGUGUUUCUACUCAUUUUUGUGUGUAUUUCUCUGCUACAACUACCUUGGGAUGUUGCUAAUCUCCAUUACGCCAAACUUUCACAUUGCUAACAUUUUGUCCUCUGCCUUCUUCACCCUCUUCAAUCUCUUUUCUGGGUUUCUUAUUCCAAAUCCGGUAAGCCAUGUUUUAUUAACUGAAGCUCUUCCUUAAUGUUGUUUAUUUUUGCCUUUUUUUCCACCCUAUGAUUGAAACUAGAUCUAUUACUCUAUAAUUACAAGCAAAAGACAUUGGAGACCAAACCCUGAUACUAGACCAGACGAACAAAUCAUAUAUAAGACUUUUCUUGGUUAAAUUAUAAAAAACAAUACCCUUCAACUUCCAUUUGUGUCAAAAAUAUCCUUCUACUUUCAAAAGUUGUAAUAUUACUUAUGAAUAUUUAUGCAGCAAAUCCCAAAGUGGUGGACAUGGAUGUAUUACCUUACCCCAACAUCAUGGAUUUUGAAUUGUUUACUAACUUCUCAGUAUGGAGAUAUAGACAGAACAUUGAUGGUGUUUGGA